UCUGCACUGAAGGACACCCAAAAGGCACUGUGUGAGGGUAGUAGCCCCUAUCCUGGCUCCAGCCCAAUAGGGGCUGCCUUCCCCCAGCCUCUUUUCCCAGGGAAGACCCCCCCCCCCAAGAUCUGCCACCACAACAUGCGGAAAUAUAAGUCCAACCGACCCUUCCC
Long non-coding RNA from Dipodomys spectabilis (banner-tailed kangaroo rat), 167 nucleotides. RefSeq lists it as uncharacterized. The transcript is spliced from 3 exons. Lineage: Eukaryota; Metazoa; Chordata; Mammalia; Rodentia; Heteromyidae. The record is from RefSeq and is a predicted model, not a curated record.